Molecule: small nuclear RNA, 18 nt
Filed under: Arabidopsis thaliana (thale cress)
Lineage: Eukaryota; Viridiplantae; Streptophyta; Magnoliopsida; Brassicales; Brassicaceae
Description: snRNA_06636
Source: RNAcentral
AUAGAUGAUAUUCUUCCG